GUGUUAGCUCGCUAACACAUUCACUAAAGUUGGAACGAUACAGAGAAGAUUAGCAUGGCCCCUGGCGCAAGCAUGGUGCUUGUUGUUCUCGGUCCUUCUCGCUCCUU
This is a small nuclear RNA of Nothobranchius furzeri (turquoise killifish), 107 nucleotides long. NCBI's taxonomy places the organism in Eukaryota, Metazoa, Chordata, Actinopteri, Cyprinodontiformes, Nothobranchiidae. The record is from Ensembl.